AAGGAUCAUUAGUGAAUUUUAGGGCGUCGUUUUUAACAACGAGCCUGACCUCCACUUCUAACACUGUGCACUUUGCUUUGGCGCUGAAAACGAGAAUUGUUGUGCUUAACGGCCCUUUUUUCAAAUGAAGCCCUUAGUCUUUUUUUACUUUAAACAUUUGAAGUCAAAGUAUGUAACCAAGUUUAUAAAACAAAAAAAAACUUUCAACAACGGAUCUCUUGGCUCUCGCAUCGAUGAAGAACGCAGCGAAAUGUGAUAAGUAAUGUGAAUUGCAGAAUUCAGUGAAUCAUCGAAUCUUUGAACGCAUCUUGCGCUCUCUGGUAUUCCGGAGAGCAUGUCUGUUUGAGUGUCAUGAACUCUUCAACCCUCCAAUUUCUAGUAGAUUGCGAGGAGUUUGGAUUUUGAGCGUUUUGCUAAUCUUUAGAUUAGCUCGUUCGUAAUGCAUUAGCCUCUCGAAUUCGAUUUCGGAUUGACUCAGUGUAAUAGACUAUUCGCUGAGGACACUUUUUACUAAGUGGCCGAAUGAGAAACUGUUUAGAAGCUUCUAAAGCAAGUUUGAUUAGUCAAAUCUUCAAUUUAGACCUCAGAUCAGGCAGGAUUACCCGCUGAACUUAAG
RNAcentral lists this ribosomal RNA (616 nucleotides) under Meredithblackwellia eburnea. Its description in RNAcentral is "eukaryotic LSU rRNA". The stretch from base 199 to 352 matches the Rfam family "5.8S ribosomal RNA". Lineage: Eukaryota; Fungi; Basidiomycota; Microbotryomycetes; Kriegeriales; Kriegeriaceae. The record is from RNAcentral.